CGGGGGCGGAGCUGGCGGAGGAAGUCCGAGGCCUGCUCGGGCUCGCGCUGCCCGGGGGACGCCGGGACUGAGAGGCCGGGCGGCCGGGGCCCUGCGGUGGCGGCGGCGGUGGCGGCAGGACCCCCUGUGCGGAGCGCCAUAUGAGACGGUUUCAGCGGAAGCACCUCACAGCUGUCGACUGCCAGCACCUGGCUCGGAGUCACUUGGCUGCGACGCAGCCCUUCUCUCAAAGAUGGACACACAGAGACCCGAACCACGGUCUCUAUCCUAGACCCAGAACAAGAACAGGGACUAGGGGUCGAGGAUGCCCAAGAUACGGCCCUGAAUUCUUCCUCGCCGGCCAGCAGUGGUGCACCAAUGACAUGGCCAAGAGCAAUCCUGUGGGCCAGGACAGUUCUAAGGACUUGGAAGACGGAAUGAUCUUUGCCGCGGAGAGCAGUUGUGGCCUCCCUCGGGACAGCGAUGGAGAAGCAGGGCUGGGCUCGUUCGGGGCGGCUCUGCCUGCAAGGAAGCGGUCUUGGUCCUUCGAGGACGAGAGGAAUCCGGCCACAGGGACCAGUCAGUGGGACGGGGUUUCUAAGAAGACCCCACGGCAUCGUUGGUCCCCGUCGUGCCCAAGGCCCCAGGAAGCCAGGCAGGAAGCAGAGGACUCUGUGCCACAGCUCUCUGCGCCGCUUGGAGAAUCCAGCCAGGUGGUGGAGGACAUCGGUCCUGACCCCAUCCCUGACUGUUACUAUGGGCUUCUUGGGACCUUGCCUGGCCAGGAGCCCCAGAGCCACAUCUGUAGCCUGCCCAGCGAGGUCCUGAGGCACAUCUUUGCCUUCCUCCCCGUGGAGGACCUCUACUGGAACCUGAGCCUGGUGUGCCACCUCUGGAGGGAGAUCAUCAGUGACCCGCUGUUCAUUCCUUGGAAAAAGCUGUAUCACCGAUACCUGAUGAAUGAAGAGCAAGCUGUCAGCAAGGUGGACGGCAUCCUGUCCAGCUAUGGUAUAGAGAAGGAGUCGGACCUCUGUGUGCUGAACCUCAUCCGCUACACAGCCACCACUAAGUGCUCCCCGAGUGUGGACCCCGGGCGGGCGUUGUGGAGUCUGCGGGAUCACCUCCUCCUCCCCGAGGCAGAGGCCUGCGUGCGCCAGCACCUGCCCGAUCUCUACGCUGCCCCUGCGGGCGUCAACGUGUGGGCCCUGGUAGCGGCCAUUGUCCUCCUGUCCAGCAGCGUCCAGGAUAUCCAGCAGCUGCUCUUCUGCCUCCGGCGGCCCGGCUCCACCGUGACCAUGCCGGACGUUGCUGAGACCCUGUACUGCAUCGCUGUGCUGCUCUACGCCAUGCGGGAGAAGGGCAUUAACAUCAGCAACCGGAUUCACUACAACAUUUUCUAUUGCCUGUAUCUUCAGGAGAAUUCCUGUGCUCAGGCCACGGACGUCAAGGAGGAACCGUCGGUCUGGCCAGGUAAGAAGACCACCAUCCAACUCACACAUGAACAGCAGCUGAUUCUGAGCCAUAAGAUGGAGCCCCUCCAGGUGGUGAAAAUCAUGGCCUUUGCGGGCACCGGGAAGACCUCCACUCUGGUCAAGUAUGCCGAGAAGUGGUCCGAGAGCAGGUUUCUGUACGUGACCUUUAACAAGAGCAUCGCCAAGCAGGCCGAGCUCGUCUUCCCCAGCAACGUCAUCUGCAAGACCUUCCACUCCAUGGCCUACGGCCACGUCGGGCGAAAGUACCAAUUAAAGAAGAAACUGAAUCUCUUCAAGUUAACACCCUUCAUGGUCAACUCUGUCCUUGCAGAAGGGAAGGGUGGCUUCAUCAGGGCCAAGCUAGUAUGUAAGACUCUGGAGAACUUUUUCGCCUCGGCUGACGAGGAACUGACCAUCGACCACGUGCCCAUCUGGUGUAAGAACAGCCAAGGACAGAGAGUCAUGGUCGAGCAGAGCGAGAAACUGAACGGUGUCCUCGAAGCCAGCCGGCUCUGGGACAAUAUGCGGAAGCUGGGAGAGUGCAGGGAGGAGGCCUACCAGAUGACGCAUGAUGGCUACUUGAAGCUCUGGCAGCUCAGCAAGCCUCUGCUGGCCUCUUUUGAUGCCAUCUUCGUGGACGAGGCCCAGGACUGCACCCCAGGAUUAGAAACAGCUGCUUCUGUCUGUCAUAAAAUCGUCUCUUUGGUUGAGAACACAGCUCUCCUUUCCGGGAGGGAAGCUAUCAUGAACAUCGUCCUGUCUCAGCCUUGCGGGAAGAUCUUUGUAGGGGACCCACACCAGCAGAUCUAUACCUUCCGGGGUGCAGUCAAUGCUCUGUUCACAGUCCCCCACACACACGUCUUCUAUCUCACUCAGAGCUUCAGGUUUGGUGUGGAAAUCGCGUACGUGGGAGCUACCAUCCUGGACGUCUGCAAGAGAGUGAGAAAGAAGACGCUGGUGGGAGGGAACCAUCAGAGUGGCAUCAGAGGUGACACCAAGGGGCAGGUGGCCCUGCUGUCCCGAACCAACGCCAACGUGUUUGACGAGGCCGUCCGGGUGACAGAAGGAGAGGUGCCCGCCCGCAUCCACUUGAUCGGGGGAAUUAGGUCAUUUGGAUUGGACAGAAUCAUCGAUAUUUGGACCCUUCUGCAGCCGGAGGAGGAACGGAAGAAACAAAACUUGGUCAUCAAAGACAAGUUCAUUAGAAGGUGGGCACACAGAGAGGGCUUCAGCGGCUUCAAGCGGUACGUGACCGCCGCCGAGGACAAGGAGCUGGAAGCCAAGAUCGCGGUGGUGGAGAAGUACAACGUCCGGAUCCCGGAGCUGGUGCAGCGCAUCGAGCGGUGCCACAUCGAGGACUUGGACUUUGCAGAGUACAUUCUGGGCACCGUGCACAAGGCCAAAGGCCUGGAGUUUGACACUGUGCAUGUCCUGGACGAUUUCGUGAAAGUGCCUUGUGCCCGGCACAACCUGGCUCAGCUGCCCCACUUCAGAGUCGAGUCGUUCUCUGAGGACGAAUGGAACUUACUGUACGUGGCGGUAACUCGUGCCAGGAGGCGUCUCAUCAUGACCAAGUCCUUGGAGAACAUCCUGACGUUGGCUGGGGAGUACUUCUUGCAAGUGGAGCUGACGAGUAACGUGUUAAAGACGGGCGUGGUUCGCUGCUGCGUGGGGCAGUGCAGCAACGCCAUCCCAGUGGACACCGUGCUCACCAUGCGGAAGCUCCCCAUCACCUACAGCAACAGGAAGGAGAACAAGGGCGGGUACCUCUGCCACUCGUGCGCGGAGCAGCGCAUCGGGCCUCUGGCCUUCCUGACCGCCUCCCCGGAGCAGGUGCGCGCCAUGGACCGCACCGUGGAGGACGUCGUGCUGCCGCGGCACGAAGCCCUGCUCUUCCUCGUGUUCUGACGUCAGGGAGGAGCGCUCCUCGGGCCGGGGCCGGGCGGGCUCCUGCCCCGCAGACGGCGCAUCGGGGCCUCCCUGCCCUGACCCCGGACUCACUCGUGGAGCGUUUUCUGAGGACGACGAAGCCAACCAGAGUUGGACCUGCGGUUUCUCCGCCCCUCGCUUCAGGGAUGCAGAUGGCAGGUGGGGGAGCUGGCCCGGCCGUGCCCAGAGCUCGCCGCAUCUAGUUCGCGCCUGGCCCGCGGAGUGGAGAGCAGACCUCGUGGCUUGAGCCGCUGCAGCCUCCCCUAACCCCUCCUCCGUCAGGCCUCUAGUGGACAUAGCGGGCGGCCGGUGAGUAAAGCGAGGUGCUGGGGCGGGGAGCGCCGAGUUAACGGCUGCACCUGGCGGAGGACAGCGGUGAACGCGUUGCCGGAAAGGGACUGGCUGGGGCAUCCACUCCACCACCACGCCUGGCCUUCCUUACUUGGUGCUUUUGGAUAACUGAACAAAACAGUGAGUGAAGGGAAAUGAUGUGGAUGUGGACCCGGCACAGUGUCCAGGGUCGUUGGAAAGAGGGGUUUGGGGGAUGAGUGGUGAUAGGGAGUGGGGAUGUUGGUUUAUGGACGCAUUUACUGGAAACCUCGUUUUACCAACCAGAGAGGAGGCAGCUUAUUUACCGGAGACAUCACGGCUCACUGGGCCUUCACGGAGCACCUGCUGUGGGGCAGGGGCCCUGGGAGUGGGCGUCUGGAAUGGGAAGUGGUCCUGGCUUACGGAGGUGGCAGUGAGCAGUGUGAUUGCAGAGAGGGGCCCGCAGCGCACCUGGGGCGGGAGGGGUGUCCUGCCAGAGCAGGUGGGGCUGGGGCCGAGCUUAGUAACAGGGCGGUGGUUAGCUGGCUCUUCAGGAAGGAACGAGGGAAAGAAGGUUCCUGGAAGAAAGGGGAACGUGAAGGGAAAAAAGUGUGUGUGGUAACAGUACUGUCAGAGCAAACGUCAGCGCUGGUAUUUUGGUACUUAUUUAAAAAAAAAACCAGAAUCUAGGAGUUGACAGUGGUAUUUAAUUUUUAAGUGUUAAGAAUUUCUUAAAAAAAUUAUUAAAACCAAAUGGUUGUUUCAAAUAGAAAAAUAAUUUUUAAAUAAGCAGUAAAAAUAGAAAUUAUAUUUAUUUAAGUCUCUUAAGGAACUCAGUAGUUUAUGAAGAUAGAAAUUCCUAUAUAAAAUUUAGUUUUGUUAAAUAUACUUACAAAGUUAAUUGUAUUUUAUUUAUGUAUUUUUAUUAAAUUUUUCUUAAUUGAAAUAUAGUUGUUUUACAAUGCUAGUUUCAGGUGUACAAGAUAAUGAUUUAACAUUUUUAUAGAUGGUACUCCAUUUGAAAUUAUUACAAACUAGUGGCUAUAAUUUCCCUGUGCUGGCUGAUACGUUCUUGUUUGUUUUAUAUGUAGUAGUUCACAUCUCUUAAUCUCAUGUCCAUAUGUAUGAAGUUAAGUAUCUAUUAUGAUUUAAUAUAAGUAAUUAGAUGGAAAAAAUAAAAGCGUUAUUGAAAAAAUAUAAACUAAAUACUAGAUGAAAAUGAAAAUCUUUUAGCUCUUUUUAAAAGUAUAGUCUUUAAGACAUGAGGCUUCCAUGGUUUCAUUUAGUUGUGAACAUGUUUUUGUGUAAGACUUUCUGUAGAAGUUUGGUUUUUUUGGUUGGUUUUGAUUUUAUACCACAUAAAUUGGGAGAAAAAUAAGGGAAAUAAUUAUAAGCUAGUUCCUGAUAUUUUUCUUUGGUUCAUUAGUUUUUUAAUAAUCCCUUUAUUUGAUAACUUGGAGAUCUUUUUUUAUUUUUCUAAGAAUUCAAAGACCACUGAUAGCAAGUUCUAGUUUUUUGUUUCAGAGAAAGGAUUUCUGAUUUGUCUCCAUCUUCUUUGUUUUUUUCUUGUAUAUAGAGAUUUUGAUGCAGUUACCCAUAUAAAAACAAAUUCUGUUAUGUCAUGUUCCAUUCGUCUAGAUGAUAUUUGAAAUACAAUAAAAACUAUUCUUGGAAUAGAAGCAUUCA
Camelus dromedarius (Arabian camel) is the source of this 5375-nucleotide RNA transcript. It is a transcript of the gene named F-box DNA helicase 1, with no coding region annotated. The transcript is spliced from 23 exons. The record is from RefSeq and is a predicted model, not a curated record. Lineage: Eukaryota; Metazoa; Chordata; Mammalia; Artiodactyla; Camelidae.